RNAcentral lists this ribosomal RNA (644 nucleotides) under Cortinarius vernus. RNAcentral's name for it is "eukaryotic LSU rRNA". It matches the Rfam family "Eukaryotic large subunit ribosomal RNA", at positions 1 to 626 of the family's 3401-position model. The record is from RNAcentral. Lineage: Eukaryota; Fungi; Basidiomycota; Agaricomycetes; Agaricales; Cortinariaceae.
UGACCUCAAAUCAGGUAGGACUACCCGCUGAACUUAAGCAUAUCAAUAAGCGGAGGAAAAGAAACUAACAAGGAUUCCCCUAGUAACUGCGAGUGAAGCGGGAAAAGCUCAAAUUUAAAAUCUGGCGGUCUUUUGGCUGUCCGAGUUGUAAUCUAGAGAAGUGUUAUCCGCGCUGGACCGUGUACAAGUCUCCUGGAAUGGAGCAUCAUAGAGGGUGAGAAUCCCGUCUUUGACAUGGACUGCCAGGGCUUUGUGAUGCGCUCUCAAAGAGUCGAGUUGUUUGGGAAUGCAGCUCAAAAUGGGUGGUAAAUUCCAUCUAAAGCUAAAUAUUGGCGAGAGACCGAUAGCGAACAAGUACCGUGAGGGAAAGAUGAAAAGAACUUUGGAAAGAGAGUUAAACAGUACGUGAAAUUGCUGAAAGGGAAACGCUUGAAGUCAGUCACGUCGUCCAGGGAUCAACCUUGCUUUUGCUUGGUGCACUUUCUGGUUUGACGGGUCAGCAUCAAUUUUGACUAUUGGAAAAAGGCUCUAGGGAAUGUGGCAUCUUCGGAUGUGUUAUAGCCCUUGGUCAUAUACAAUGGUUGGGAUUGAGGAACUCAGCACGCCGCAAGGCCGGGUUUUAUACCACGUACGUGCUUAGGAUG